UGGGGCAGGCCAUGCUGAGCGGCAUGACGAAGACGAAGGUGCGCAGCGCGAACGGGAGGGCGCCGGAGCCGGGCAGGGCGGAGAGAUGCGCCAGCGGUCCGGAUCGGGGCCGUGUCAUUGUCAGCUACCUGGGGAUGCGCCUCUCGCUCCCUCACUGUCUUUGCGUGUGUGUUAGUGUGUGUGUGUGUGUGUGUGUGUGUGUGUCGGCCUGUCUACGCACUACACGAAGGCUUAGUUGGUCUUCUUUCGUCUAGUGGGCGCACUCAGGUCUUGUUUUUGUGUCUUUAACUAGGACUUCUAUUUGGAACUGAGUCCGACAGCUCAGGACUGGCUGCUCAAACUCCACAAUUUAAUGAAAAAUCUCAGAUGAUGACUCAGAAAACCUCUAAUGAUCUGAGGAAUAUAUUAAGGGAUUCCAGAGUCAAAGGCUGAUCAUGGAGGGCAUUGAUGAGGGAAGACUUCAGGUAGGAGGUGCAUUCUAGCAGGAACUGAAGAGAAUGAAGUCCAGUUGGUAGAAACGGAGGGGGUGGCUUGGAUAAAUCUUAUAUGUAAUUAAUCAGAAGUACCUGGCAGGUGGCUGGAGACCAGAAGAAAGGAACACUGGAAGAAUGAAAACGGUUGUGAUGCACUGCAGUGUGAAAAUAUGCCCUUGAGCCUUAAAGAAAGGGGCUUAAGGCCGGGCGCGGUGGCUCACGCCUGUACUCCCAGCACACAGAUCACGAGGUCAAGAGAUUUGAGACCAUCCUGGCCAACACGGUGAAACCCCGUCUCUACUAAAAAUACAAAAAAUUAUGUGGGAGUGGUGGCGCACGCCUGUAGUCCCAGCUACUCGGGAGGCUGAGGCAGGAGAAUCGCUGGAACCCAGGAGGCGGAGGAGGUUACAGUGAGCCGAGAUCGCGCCACUGUACUCCAGCCUGGCGACAGAGCGAGACUCCGUCUCAAAAAAAAAAAAACAGAAAACAACCAACUAAAGAAAGAAAUAAAAAGAAAAGAAGAAAGGAAAGAAAGGAGAGAAAGAAAAGGAAAGAAGGAGAGAGAGAAGGAAGGAAGGAGAGAGAGAGAAAGGAAAGAAAAAAGAAGGAAAGAAGGAAGGGAAGGAAGGAAAGGAAGAAAGAAAAGCACAGCACUAUGGACCUAGUGCUUAAUUGUACCCAAGACGUUUUUCAGCACCAGGACAAGCAUCAUUGCUCAAGGAGAGCUUGGUUGACAACAGGAAGUUAGAAGGAGUCUGAAUUGUAACAAGUGUGGCAAGAGCACCAAGAUCACUGUGUGUGUGUGUUCACAGAAAAUGUACCAAAGGGAGAAGCCUUAAAAACAAAUGGCAGGUGUGGGCACCAGAAAAUCAACACAUCGGGAAGAGAAAAAUGGCAUGGUUUUACUGUAAUUGUAAAAAGGCGCCCUAAAGAGUGUCUAUCGGAUCACCCUCAAGUUGGGUCAAACGGCUCCUCUUCUCGGCUUU
RNAcentral lists this long non-coding RNA (1459 nucleotides) under Homo sapiens (human). Its description in RNAcentral is "HSALNT0061507". The record is from RNAcentral. Lineage: Eukaryota; Metazoa; Chordata; Mammalia; Primates; Hominidae.